UUCAUUUCGUUCCAGCAGCCAUGGAGAGAAGAAGGUAAUGGCCAAAACCCUAACUCCCACUUCCAUCCACCAUAACUUCUUCAUCCGAGCUCCAAUCGCCGCACCGUUUGCGGCCACGUGUCCGCAGUGACGAGCUCUACAAAGCCCGGUACCUUUCAAGGAUCAAAUUGAGUUGAGGAAUGAGUGGACUUUGGUUUGAUUGAGGCACAUACAAGGUGUAUAAUUGUAUAUGUUGGAGCUUGAAUUGUGAGCAUUGGAACUUUGUGGAGGUUGGGUACUUGAGCUUUGAUGAUUUUGGGGACUUGAGGGGCUGUGUUAGUUGGUGUUUUGCCUUGGACAAUACGCAGAAAUCGGCCAAGAUGCAGGUCGAGAGGCUCCUCGCUAGGCGUCUGUAUUCUUGAAGCGGAGUAGUUCCUGGGAUAUUUUGGUUUGACAGCUUAUGUAUAUAUGUACUUAGUCACUUAGCUUUCUCUCCAAAAAACUUGAUUAUUUUGUUCCUCAUAGAGGUUACAGGAGAGUUAGGACUUUAUUUCUGUAUUUUGGGUAUUUUGGGAUACCUGUAUAUAUAUGUAAAUAUUCUCCGGCCAACCUUGGCUUCGCAAGCUGAGUCAGGAGCUAGUUCAUUGUAUUCUUGACUCUCUUUUCGUUCUUCUGCUUAUUUAUAUCUAUAACCUUUAGGUUUUUUAGCA
Arachis ipaensis is the source of this 689-nucleotide non-coding RNA. The record is from RefSeq and is a predicted model, not a curated record. NCBI's taxonomy places the organism in Eukaryota, Viridiplantae, Streptophyta, Magnoliopsida, Fabales, Fabaceae.